UACAGAGGUGGCAAGCGUUGUUCGGAAUUACUGGGCGUAAAGGGCGCGUAGGCGGCCUUGUAAGUCUCGUGUGAAAGCCCUCGGCUUAACUGAGGAUCUGCACGGGAUACUGCGAGGCUUGAGUUCGGGAGAGGAAAGCGGAAUUCCGGGUGUAGCGGUGAAAUGCGUAGAUAUCCGGAGGAACACCAGUGGCGAAAGCGGCUUCCUGGACCAGUACCGACGUUCAGGCACGAAAGCGUGGGGAGCAAACAGG
This 253-nucleotide ribosomal RNA is filed under the name uncultured bacterium. Its description in RNAcentral is "partial 16S ribosomal RNA". It matches the Rfam family "Bacterial small subunit ribosomal RNA", at positions 524 to 776 of the family's 1533-position model. The record is from RNAcentral.